RNAcentral lists this ribosomal RNA (562 nucleotides) under uncultured bacterium. RNAcentral describes it as "bacterial SSU rRNA". It matches the Rfam family "Bacterial small subunit ribosomal RNA", at positions 72 to 617 of the family's 1533-position model. The record is from RNAcentral.
GGAGGAGCUUGCUUCUCUGGAUGAGUUGCGAACGGGUGAGUAACGCGUAGGUAACCUGCCUGGUAGUGGGGGAUAACUAUUGGAAACGAUAGCUAAUACCGCAUAACAGUAGAUAUUGCAUGAUAUCUGCUUGAAAGGUGCAAUUGCAUCACUACCAGAUGGACCUGCGUUGUAUUAGCUAGUUGGUGAGGUAACGGCUCACCAAGGCGACGAUACAUAGCCGACCUGAGAGGGUGAUCGGCCACACUGGGACUGAGACACGGCCCAGACUCCUACGGGAGGCAGCAGUAGGGAAUCUUCGGCAAUGGACGGAAGUCUGGUGACCGAGCAACGCCGCGUGAGUGAAGAAGGUUUUCGGAUCGUAAAGCUCUGUUGUAAGAGAAGAACGAGUGUGAGAGUGGAAAGUUCACACUGUGACGGUAUCUUACCAGAAAGGGACGGCUAACUACGUGCCAGCAGCCGCGGUAAUACGUAGGUCCCGAGCGUUGUCCGGAUUUAUUGGGCGUAAAGCGAGCGCAGGCGGUUAGAUAAGUCUGAAGUUAAAGGCUGUGGCUUAACCAUA